AUGACUCUCGGCAACGGAUAUCUCGGCUCUCGCAUCGAUGAAGAACGUACCGAAAUGCGAUACUUGGUGUGAAUUGCAGAAUCCCGUGAACCAUCGAGUCUUUGAACGCAAGUUGCGCCCGAAGCCUUUUGGCCGAGGGCACGUUUGCCUGGGCGUC
RNAcentral lists this ribosomal RNA (157 nucleotides) under Armeria villosa subsp. bernisii. RNAcentral describes it as "5.8S ribosomal RNA". It matches the Rfam family "5.8S ribosomal RNA". From Rfam's summary of the family: 5.8S ribosomal RNA (5.8S rRNA) is a component of the large subunit of the eukaryotic ribosome. Lineage: Eukaryota; Viridiplantae; Streptophyta; Magnoliopsida; Caryophyllales; Plumbaginaceae. The record is from RNAcentral.